UACGUAGGGGGCGAGCGUUGUCCGGAUUUAUUGGGCGUAAAGAGCUCGUAGGCGGUUCGAUAAGUCGGACGUGAAAUCUCCACGCUCAAUGUGGAGGGGCCGUUCGAUACUGUCGUGACUCGAGUCCGGUAGGGGAGUGUGGAAUUCCCGGUGUAGCGGUGAAAUGCGCAGAGAUCGGGAGGAACACCCGUAGCGAAGGCGGCACUCUGGGCCGGUACUGACGCUGAGGAGCGAAAGCGUGGGGAGCAAACAGG
RNAcentral lists this ribosomal RNA (254 nucleotides) under uncultured bacterium. RNAcentral's name for it is "partial 16S ribosomal RNA". It matches the Rfam family "Bacterial small subunit ribosomal RNA", at positions 524 to 776 of the family's 1533-position model. The record is from RNAcentral.